AUUGAACGCUGGCGGCAGGCCUAACACAUGCAAGUCGAGCGAGCGGCGGACGGGUGAGUAAUGUAUGGGGAUCUGCCCGAUGGAGGGGGAUAACUACUGGAAACGGUGGCUAAUACCGCAUACUAUCGGAUGAACCCAUAUGGGAUUAGCUCGUAGGUGGGGUAAAGGCUAACCUAGGCGACGAUCGCUAGCUGGUCUGAGAGGAGGCUCAGCCACACUGGACCUGAGACACGGCCCAGACUCCUACGGGAGGCAGCAGUGGGGAAUAUUGCACAAUGGGCGCAAGCCUGAUGCAGCCAUGCCGCGUGUAUGAAGAAGGCCUUCGGGUUGUAAAGUACUUUCAGCGGGGAGGCGUUACCCGCAGAAGAAGCACCGGCUAACUCCGUGCCAGAAGCCGCGGUAAUUC
RNAcentral lists this ribosomal RNA (406 nucleotides) under uncultured bacterium. RNAcentral describes it as "partial 16S ribosomal RNA". It matches the Rfam family "Bacterial small subunit ribosomal RNA", at positions 30 to 526 of the family's 1533-position model. The record is from RNAcentral.